UAUCAAGGUUUAUAUAUAUUUUAAUUUGGGUGCAAGUUACCAAACUUCUUUCAGAAUGCUGGGAUGUAUAGGUUUUCAUUUCACCUUCCUCAGUCAAGCUGUAAGAGUUGUGAGAGAUAGGUGGUAGUUAAGGGAUCUUCUAAGGUUGGAAAUUGGAGACUGUUGAGUUGUAAACAGAGCCCAGAGUUCUGUGUUAGGAUAUUCUAAUUGAAAGCUAUGAGUUGGACAAGAUCCAACCACAUUAUGAGGCUACCUUGGUGAUAUCUCCACAAAAUGAAUUGGCAUCAGUUUCAAUUCCAUGUCAAGGUAUUCC
Molecule: long non-coding RNA, 313 nt
Organism: Pistacia vera
Lineage: Eukaryota; Viridiplantae; Streptophyta; Magnoliopsida; Sapindales; Anacardiaceae
Exons: 3
Source: RefSeq, a predicted model, not a curated record